Molecule: long non-coding RNA, 17124 nt
Filed under: Triticum aestivum (bread wheat)
Lineage: Eukaryota; Viridiplantae; Streptophyta; Magnoliopsida; Poales; Poaceae
Description: long non-coding RNA (TAES_LNC001491)
Source: RNAcentral
UUGAACAAUAAAGAAAAUUAAAGCUUUAUUGAUAAUCGGAUAAAUAUUACAAAGUUAUAUUACAUAUGACAUACAUGAAUAAUUAAUAAGAGAAUACAUUCUUGGAUUGUAAAGAAUUCAGGAAAGACAACCUAAACUAAAUUAUCUAUUCUUCCUAUACUAUCAUAUCUAAGAUCUUGAUUUUAAUCUUGAUCUUCUUCUUCUUUUCUUCAAAACCCGCAACCAUAAACACUAGAGGGAGUGGGUUAGGAUUAGUAUGUAGCAUAUAUCCUGUCAAGUGACAGUAGAUAUAAGCCACUGUUCAGCCUCAGAAUAAAGCCAGGAGUAGAUAUAGAUCAAACCCACCCGACCAGGACCAAGUAACCAAGCAAUUAGCCACCCAGCAACUUACAAGAUAGGCAUCAAGGAGAGCUUGACAACAGCAAGCAGCUGCUGUCAACACCACCAGCACCAGAGAUUCACGCAAGGACAACACUAGCAGCACACACAACAAGCACACAGCUGAGUCACCCGUCCAGAGCACUAUAAAUAGAGCAACCCAGCCGUAGUGAGAGUUUGAUAGCCACUGGUACAACUGAACCAAACAGGAGUUGGACCAAACCCAAACCUGAGAAUUAGUGUGAAACAGCAAGGAGGUGCAGGCUAACCACAAGAAGGAUAACCAGAGCCUCAAGACCAAGCUACUCAGCACCAGAGGUAGGAUUGGAGUGAUGGAAUCCUCAGGCGUGCACAGAAAUGCUGUGUCAUGCAUCACAGGAUUUGUAGGAGUUCUUGGAGCCACAAAAAUAACUUUAGAACCCAGAGAGGCCUCAGACCAGCAUCAUAGGCAAUAAGAUCAGGCAACAUAUGUUCUUAUCAGUUUAAUAGAAGAGAGAGGGAUAGAGAAAUAGACAAGAAAGCAGAAUAUAGCCAAGACAAGCAAUAUCUGUUCUUAAGUAGAGUAAAGAUAGCAUAGAAGAAAUAGACAGGGUAGCACCCAACUGAAUAUCUGCUUCUGCAGAACACUGCACUCCACUUACACAUGGUAUUUUUCUGCAAAUAGGACACCACAUCCACCAGCACAUGGGCUAGUAUCAUUAGCAGUGCUGCUGUAAGUAUAUAUAAUGUUGGCAAAUUCUAGCCUAUCUCUCUCACCUCACCUCGGUCUUUCUCUGAAACUCAGGUGGCAGGAAGAACAGGGAGGUUUUGCGCCGCGUGAACUUGCGACUUUUCUGAUUUUCAUUCCUCUCUACUUAUUCAGAGUACAGCAACAGAAACAGGGUCGUGGCCCCCUAACUACGCGCCACCACAGAUCGUGAUGCUCGUGCCAUCCCACGAGCGAUCGGUGAGGGCGCCAGAAACGCUCCACGCACUAACUGACUCGAGCUAAACUCGCUAACAGAAACCUGAAGCUACUGACGAAACUGAAGAAAAGACUGAAACUGACGAAACUGAAAACCAAAAACACUAGCUACUGCAGACUUGGGUUUAUUCAACAAUCACCCCCUAAAUCCUAGUCUGCUUACUUUAUUUUCUUCAUUCCAAUCUUCUCUCUCAGCUGGAUGAACCUGACCCGUCCCAGGGGCUUCGUCAAAAUGUCAGCCAACUGAUCUUCAGUUCGGAUGUAAUCAACUGUCAUCCUUCCAUCCUCCACACAUUCCCUGAUGAAAUGAUACCGCACAUCUAUGUGCUUACUUCUGUCGUGGAGAACCGGAUUCUUGCAGAGAGCUAUGGCAGAUUUGUUGUCCACCAGAAGCAGUGGCACCUGAAGUUCUUCACCUGUGAUUUCUGCAAGCAGACGCGCCACCCACACGCCCUGACAUGCGGCCGUUAUUGCUGCAAUGAACUCAGCUUCACAUGAUGAAAGGGCCACCACUUUCUGUUUCUGCGACAGCCAGCUGACAGGGCUAUCACCGAGGAAAAAGACUCCCCCGGACGUGCUCUUGCGAUCAUCGAUGUCGCCCGCCAUGUCGCUGUCGCUGUACCCGACGAGCCUGGCUCCGUUGGCUCGCCGGCGAGGAAAAUGACACCCCAGAUCACGAGUGCCGGCCACGUACCUGACGAUGUGCUGAACAGCAGUCAAGUGCUCGACCGUGGGCGCUUCCAUGAAACGGCUCACGUAGCUCACCGCGAAGGUGAUAUCUGGCCGGGAGUGGGUGAGGUAGCGCAACGUCCCCACCAUGCUCCUGUACUCCGUAGCGUCCGUCGAAGCCGCUGUGCUUGCCUUGCUCAGCUUCAGACGCGCUUCCAUGGGUGUCUGACGUGCAUUACACCCCAUCAGCCCCGCCUUCUCAAUGAUCUUGUCAACGUACGCGCUCUGCGCAAUGGUCACACCAUCCACAUCCUGGCGCACUUCAAUGCCUAGGUAGUAGGAGAGCAACCCGAGAUCGCUCAUCCUAAACUUGCCCUUCAUCGCCGUCUUGAAAUUGUCGAUCUCCGUGGCGUCGGCCCCGGUGAUCACCAGGUCAUCCACGUACACCCCCAGAAGAAGGAGCUCGCGGCCUGACCCGCGUGCGUAGACGGCGUGCUCGGAGUUGCAGCGACGGAAACCCAUGUCAACGAGCGUGGUGUCAAGCUUGGCGUUCCAAGCGCGAGGUGCCUGGUGGAGACCAUACAGCGCCUUGUGCAGCUUCAGUACCUUGCGCCUGUGGUCGUCGACGACGAAACCCGGCGGCUGCUCGACGUAGACCUCCUCCUUCAGCUCGCCAUUGAGGAAAGCCGAUUUGACAUCCAUGUGAUGGAUCGGCCAUCCCCCGUGCGUUGCGAGUGCUAGCAGAAGGCGCACGGACUCCAGUCGAGCUACUGGGGCAAAAACCUCGUCGAAGUCGAUGCCAGGCUUCUGCACAAAUCCCUUGGCGACGAGGCGAGCUUUGUACUUGACGAUUUCUCCGGCCGAGUCCUUCUUGACGCGGAACACCCACUUUACCCCGAUGGCCUGGUGUCCAGCGGGCAGAUCAGUGAGCUCCCACGUGUUGUUUUCCUCGGUCAAGUUUACCUCCUCGAUCAUCGCUCUGCGCCAGCUUGGAUCGAGCUCCGCUUCUUUGAAUGUACUUGGUUCUUCAGCAGAGGCGAUCAGCAGUUUUUUGUCUGGCUGAACGGCGCCAUAGUGGAGCCCGAGAACGUCAGACACACGGCGAAAGUGAUGAGCUACGCGCGCGUCGUCAUCGGCGUCCAGCACUGGGCUCCCGGAGGGUGGUGUCACGAACUCCAAACCCCCUGGAGUGGCGGCUGCAGCAGGGGUUUGUGGUGCCUCGGUCGCCGAUUCCGGGCUGCUGACAGACACGGCCGUGUCCGGACUGCUGACAGGUGCGGGUGUGUUCACUUCAGAGCGUGAUCUGCCGCUGCAAGUUUCCGCGGAGCCGGCGGUGUCUGAGGUUCUGCUUCUUCUUCUCCGCCACUCUGAGCCAUCUGCACCUUGUAAGCUGGAUAAGGUACAGUGAACGACUCACCCACUGUUGCCGGAGUGCCAUGAGAGGAGUCCUCCCAGUUCCAUCGUGAUGACUCGUCGAAGACAGCAUCCCGCAUGAUCUGGACACGCUUGGUCGCCGGGUUGUAGGCGCGGUACGCUUUGCCGCCCUCUUCAUACCCGACGAAAACCAUCGGAGUGGAGCGGUCCUCGAGCUUGCUCUGGUGCGGUUUCACCGUCUUGACAUGAACCACGCACCCAAAGGUGCGCAGGAAGUGCACCGGAGGUCGAUCACCGUGCCACGCCUCGUACGGGGUCAUGCCGACCACGGAGCGCGUCGGCGACCUGUUCAGGAUGAACACGGCAGUGGUGACUGCCUCCCCCCAGAACUCUCCUGGCAUGGAUGCGACCUUCAUCAUGCUCCUGGCCAUGGCCACCACCGUCUGGUUACGGCGCUCCACAACGCCGUUUUGUUGAGGAGUACGGCACCGUGAGCUGCCGCUGCACCCCUCGGUCUGCACAGUAGUCGCUGAAGUCGACGGAGGUGAACUCGCCGCCGCAGUCCGUCCGCAGUGCGCGCAGCCUGCGCCCUGUCUCUGUCUCCACGCGCGCCUGGAACCGCGCGAUCGCCCCCGCGGCCUCGUCCUUGGACCGAAGCACUGACAGCCACAUGUACCUGGACAUGUCGUCGACGAGGAGGAAGUAGCGCCGCCCACCAGCCGUGGCGGGCGUGAUGGGCCCGCAAAGAUCGCCGUGCACCAGCUCCAGGAUCUGCUCCGCUCUGUAGUUCGCCUCUGCGGGAAACGAGGCACACCUCUGCUUGCCGGCGAGGCACCCGUCACACACCUGGUCGAUGUGGUCAAUGGAGGGCAGCCCGCGCACCAGUCCUUGCUGGGCGAGCUUGCGAAGCGCCUGGAAGUUGAGGUGGCCGUAUCUUGCAUGCCACUUCCACGCCUCGUCCGUUGCGCACCGUGCGGCCAGACAGACGGGGCGCGCGAGCUGGAGCGCGUAUGGGUACAGCCGGUUGCCGGCGCGCUGCACCUUUGCCAUGAUUCGACGCUGCUGGUCGUAGAGGGUGAAGACGCCGUGCUCUAUCUCCGACCUGCACCCGGUUUGGUCGAGUUGCCCGAUGCUGAUGAUGUUGCUCUUCAGCCGCGGGAUGAAGUAGACACCGCUCAGGACGCGGUGGCCGCCGGCGUGGUCGGUGAAGAGCACACUUCCGCGCCCUCGAAUGUCGACGACCGAUCUGUCUCCGAACUUGACGGUGCCGGUGACGUGACGGUCGAGCUCACUGAACGAGGCUUCCUCGCCGGACAUAUGGUUGUUGGCCCCUGUGUCCAAGUACCAGACGCCGGAGUGAGCGUCCGUGGCCAGGCCCAGAUGAGCUUCCACGCGCUCUUCGACCAGGUCGACGUGUCCGUCACGAUCGCUUGGAACCGCGGACAGAUCACACACCUACGCCAUGAGGAGGUGCGUGGGAUCGGCGUCGUCCCCGCCGUGCCCUUGGGCGAGAAGGGCCUUCGCCUCCUCGUCGCGCUUCUUCUUCCUGCAGUCACGGGCCCAGUGGCCGCUGAUGCCGCAGUAGCGACACUUGUCGCGAUCGUCGUCGUUGCCGGUGCCACCGGCGUUUCCUCUGCCAGCACCCCCGUUCUGGCCGCGUCCGCCGCCACCGCCGCGGCGCCCACGGCCCCUUCCACGCCGGCCUCGAGACGAGCCGGAGCCCGAGCCACCAGCGUGAGAAUCGCCGUUCUUGAGACGGGCGUUCCACUCCUCUUCAGUGAGAAGCAGGCUCCCCACGCUAUCAGUGCUCUGUUGCAGCUCAUGGCGUUCCUCCGCCGCUUUCAGUCUCCCAGUCAGCUCCUCAACAGAGAGCUGAUCGAGAUCGACAAGAGUUUCGAUCGAGAGAGCGAUCUGCGAAAACUGUUUGGGGACUACUGACAGAAAUUUUCUCACAACUCGUUUUUCAAGGAUGUUUUCACCGAGCUGUGCCAUCUGCCCCACCAUCGCGGUGAGACGCAUUGCGAAGUCGUCCACCGACUCGCCGUCGGCGAACUUGAUGUCGCCGUACCGCCUGGUGAGCGUCGCGAGUUUUGCCUCCCGCACCCGCGCCACACCAAGCCGCAUCAUCUUCAGAGAGUCCCACGCCUCCUUCGCCGUCGCCUUGGCGGCGAGCGUGGGUCCCAUCUCCGGCGGCACGCCGCGCAUGAUCGCCUCGAGCGCCAAACGAUCCUCGCUGCGCUCGGCGGUGCCCGUCUGGACGGCGUCCCAGAGAUACCGUCCCUCCAUCAUGACCUGCAUCAGGACAGCCCAGUCGGUGUAGUUGGAUCGGGUCAGCUGCGGCCACGCCGCACCGCCGAUGUCGCGCGCCAUCCGCUCUGUGGAUCUCUCGGCCACGGCAAGCUCGUUGCCGUCGGAGACCCGUGCCCGCGGAGUGGCCGGCGACUUGCCGCCACCGGAGUCGUCUGGACCUGCCAUCUCCAAGACCAGAACAGGGCUCUGAUGCCAAUUGUUGGCAAAUUCUAGCCUAUCUCUCUCACCUCACCUCGGUCUUUCUCUGAAACUCAGGUGGCAGGAAGAACAGGGAGGUUUUGCGCCGCGUGAACUUGCGACUUUUCUGAUUUUCAUUCCUCUCUACUUAUUCAGAGUACAGCAACAGAAACGGGGUCGUGGCCCCCUAACUACGCGCCACCACAGAUCGUGAUGCUCGUGCCAUCCCACGAGCGAUCGGUGAGGGCGCCAGAAACGCUCCACGCACUAACUGACUCGAGCUAAACUCGCUAACAGAAACCUGAAGCUACUGACAAAACUGAAGAAAAGACUGAAACUGACGAAACUGAAAACCAAAAACACUAGCUACUGCAGACUUGGGUUUAUUCAACAAUCACCCCCUAAAUCCUAGUCUGCUUACUUUAUUUUCUUCAUUCCAAUCUUCUCUCUCAGCUGGAUGAACCUGACCCGUCUCAGGGGCUUCGUCAAAAUGUCAGCCAACUGAUCUUCAGUUCGGAUGUAAUCAACUGUCAUCCUUCCAUCCUCCACACAUUCCCUGAUGAAAUGAUACCGCACAUCUAUGUGCUUACUUCUGUCGUGGAGAACCGGAUUCUUGCAGAGAGCUAUGGCAGAUUUGUUGUCCACCAGAAGCAGUGGCACCUGAAGUUCUUCACCUGUGAUUUCUGCAAGCAGACGCGCCACCCACACGCCCUGACAUGCGGCCAUUGUGGCUGCAAUGAACUCAGCUUCACAUGAUGAAAGGGCCACCACUUUCUGUUUCUGCGACAGCCAGCUGACAGGGCUAUCACCGAGGAAAAAGACUCCCCCGGACGUGCUCUUGCGAUCAUCGAUGUCGCCCGCCAUGUCGCUGUACCCGACGAGCCUGGCUCCGUUGGCUCGCCGGCGAGGAAAAUGACACCCCAGAUCACGAGUGCCGGCCACGUACCUGACGAUGUGCUGAACAGCAGUCAAGUGCUCGACCGUGGGCGCUUCCAUGAAACGGCUCACGUAGCUCACCGCGAAGGUGAUAUCUGGCCGGGAGUGGGUGAGGUAGCGCAACGUCCCCACCAUGCUCCUGUACUCCGUAGCGUCCGUCGAAGCCGCUGUGCUUGCCUUGCUCAGCUUCAGACGCGCUUCCAUGGGUGUCUGACGUGCAUUACACCCCAUCAGCCCCGCCUUCUCAAUGAUCUUGUCAGCGUACGCGCUCUGCGCAAUGGUCACACCAUCCACAUCCUGGCGCACUUCAACGCCUAGGUAGUAGGAGAGCAACCCGAGAUCGCUCAUCCUAAACUUGCCCUUCAUCGCCGUCUUGAAAUUGUCGAUCUCCGUGGCGUCGGCCCCAGUGAUCACCAGGUCAUCCACGUACACCCCCAGAAGGAGCUCGCGGCCUGACCCGCGUGCGUAGACGGCGUGCUCGGAGUUGCAGCGACGGAAACCCAUGUCAACGAGCGUGGUGUCAAGCUUGGCGUUCCAAGCGCGAGGUGCCUGGUGGAGACCAUACAGCGCCUUGUGCAGCUUCAGUACCUUGCGCCUGUGGUCGUCGACGACGAAACCCGGCGGCUGCUCGACGUAGACCUCCUCCUUCAGCUCGCCAUUGAGGAAAGCCGAUUUGACAUCCAUGUGAUGGAUCGGCCAUCCCUCGUGCGCUGCAAGUGCUAGCAGAAGGCGCACGGACUCCAGUCGAGCUACUGGGGCAAAAACCUCGUCGAAGUCGAUGCCAGGCUUCUGCACAAAUCCCUUGGCGACGAGGCGAGCUUUGUACUUGACGAUUUCUCCGGCCGGGUCCUUCUUGACGCGGAACACCCACUUUACCCCGAUGGCCUGGUGUCCAGCGGGCAGAUCAGUGAGCUCCCACGUGUUGUUUUCCUCGAUCGAGUUUACCUCCUCGAUCAUCGCUCUGCGCCAGCUUGGAUCGAGCUCCGCUUCUUUGAAUGUACUUGGUUCUUCAGCAGAGGCGAUCAGCAGUUUUUUGUCUGGCUGAACGGCGCCAUAGUGGAGCCCGAGAACGUCAGACACACGGCGAAAGCGAUGAGCUACGCGCGCGUCGUCAUCGGCGUCCAGCACUGGGCUCCCGGAGGGCGGUGUCACAAACUCCAAACCCCCUGGAGUGGCGGCUGCAGCAGAGGUUUGUGGUGCCUCGGUCGCCGAUUCCGGGCUGCUGACAGACACGGCCGUGUCCGGACUGCUGACAGGUGCGGGCGUGUUCACUUCAGAGCGUGAUCUCGCCGCUGCAAGGUUCCGCAGAGCCGGCGGUGUCUGAGGUUCUGCUUCUUCUUCUCCGCCACUCUGAGCCAUCUGCACCUUGUAAGCUGGAUAAGGUACAGUGAACGACUCACCCACUGUUGCCGGAGUGCCAUGAGAGGAGUCCUCCCAGUUCCAUCGUGCUGACUCGUCGAAGACAGCAUCCCGCAUGAUCUGGACACGCUUGGUCGCCGGGUUGUAGGCGCGGUACGCUUUGCCGCCCUCUUCAUACCCGACGAAAACCAUCGGAGUGGAGCGGUCCUCGAGCUUGCUCUGGUGCGGUUUCACCGUCUUGACAUGAACCACGCACCCAAAGGUGCGCAGGAAGUGCACCGGAGGUCGAUCACCGUGCCACGCCUCGUACGGGGUCAUGCCGACCACGGAGCGCGUCGGCGACCUGUUCAGGAUGAACACGGCAGUGGUGACUGCCUCCCCCCAGAACUCUCCUGGCAUGGAUGCGACCUUCAUCAUGCUCCUGGCCAUGGCCACCACCGUCUGGUUACGGCGCUCCACAACGCCGUUUUGUUGAGGAGUACGGCACCGUGAGCUGCCGCUGCACCCCUCGGUCUGCACAGUAGUCGCUGAAGUCGACGGAGGUGAACUCGCCGCCGCGGUCCGUCCGCAGUGCGCGCAGCCUGCGCCCUGUCUCUGUCUCCACGCGCGCCUGGAACCGCGCGAUCGCCCCCGCGGCCUCGUCCUUGGACCGAAGCACUGACAGCCACAUGUACCUGGACAUGUCGUCGACGAGGAGGAAGUAGCGCCGCCCACCAGCCGUGGCGGGCGUGAUGGGCCCGCAAAGAUCGCCGUGCACCAGCUCCAGGAUCUGCUCCGCUCUGUAGUUCGCCUCUGCGGGAAACGAGGCACACCUCUGCUUGCCGGCGAGGCACCCGUCACACACCUGGUCGAUGUGGUCAAUGGAGGGCAGCCCGCGCACCAGUCCUUGCUGGGCGAGCUUGCGGAGCGCCUGGAAGUUGAGGUGGCCGUAUCUUGCAUGCCACUUCCACGCCUCGUCCGUUGCGCACCGUGCGGCCAGACAGACGGGGCGCGAGAGCUGGAGCGCGUAUGGGUACAGCCGGUUGCCGGCGCGCUGCACCUUUGCCAUGAUUCGACGCUGCUGGUCGUAGAGGGUGAAGACGCCGUGCUCUAUCUCCGACCUGCACCCGGUUUGGUCGAGUUGCCCGAUGCUGAUGAUGUUGCUCUUCAGCCGCGGGAUGAAGUAGACACCGCUCAGGACGCGGUGGCCGCCGGCGUGGUCGGUGAAGAGCACACUUCCGCGCCCUCGAAUGUCGACGACCGAUCUGUCUCCGAACUUGACGGUGCCGGUGACGUGACGGUCGAGCUCACUGAACGAGGCUUCCUCGCCGGACAUAUGGUUGUUGGCCCCUGUGUCCAAGUACCAGACGCCGGAGUGAGCGUCCGUGGCCAGGCCCAGAUGAGCUUCCACGCGCUCUUCGACCAGGUCGACGUGUCCGUCACGAUCGCUUGGAACCGCGGACAGAUCACACACCUACGCCAUGAGGAGGUGCGUGGGAUCGGCGUCGUCCCCGCCGUGCCCUUGGGCGAGAAGGGCCUUCGCCUCCUCGUCGCGCUUCUUCUUCCUGCAGUCACGGGCCCAGUGGCCGCUGAUGCCGCAGUAGCGACACUUGUCGCGAUCGUCGUCGUUGCCGGUGCCACCGGCGUUUCCUCUGCCAGCACCCCCGUUCUGGCCGCGUCCGCCGCCACCGCCGCGGCGCCCACGGCCCCUUCCACGCCGGCCUCGAGACGAGCCGAAGCCCGAGCCACCAGCGUGAGAAUCGCCGUUCUUGAGACGGCGUUCCACUCCUCUUCAGUGAGAAGCAGGCGCCCCACGCUAUCAGUGCUCUACUGCAGCUCAUGGCGUUCCUCCGCCGCUUUCAGUCUCCCAGUCAGCUCCUCAACAGAGAGCUGAUCGAGAUCGACCAGAGUUUCGAUCGAGAGAGCGAUCUGCGAAAACUGUUUGGGGACUACUGACAGAAAUUUUCUCACAACUCGUUUUUCAAGGAUGUUUUCACCGAGCUGUGCCAUCUGCCCCACCAUCGCGGUGAGACGCAUUGCGAAGUCGUCCACCGACUCGCCGUCGGCGAACUUGAUGUCGCCGUACCGCCUGGUGAGCGUCGCGAGUUUUGCCUCCCGCACCCGCGCCACACCAAGCCGCAUCGUCUUCAGAGAGUCCCACGCCUCCUUCGCCGUCGCCUUGGCGGCGAGCGUGGGUCCCAUCUCCGGCGGCACGCCGCGCAUGAUCGCCUCGAGCGCCAAACGAUCCUCGCUGCGCUCGGCGGUGCCCGUCUGGACGGCGUCCCAGAGAUACCGUCCCUCCAUCAUGACCUGCAUCAGGACAGCCCAGUCGGUGUAGUUGGAUCGGGUCAGCUGCGGCCACGCCGCACCGCCAAUGUCGCGCGCCAUCCGCUCUGUGGAUCUCUCGGCCACGGCAAGCUCGUUGCCGUCGGAGACCCGUGCCCGCGGAGUGGCCGGCGACUUGCCGCCACCGGAGUCGUCUGGACCUGCCAUCUCCAAGACCAGAACAGGGCUCUGAUGCCAAUUGUUGGCAAAUUCUAGCCUAUCUCUCUCACCUCACCUCGGUCUUUCUCUGAAACUCAGGUGGCAGGAAGAACGGGGAGGUUUUGCGCCGCGUGAACUUGCGACUUUUCUGAUUUUCAUUCCUCUCUACUUAUUCAAAGUACAGCAACAGAAACGGGGUCGUGGCCCCCUAACUACGCGCCACCACAGAUCGUGAUGCUCGUGCCAUCCCACGAGCGAUCGGUGAGGGCGCCAGAAACGCUCCACGCGCUAACUGACUCGAGCUAAACUCGCUAACAGAAACCUGAAGCUACUGACGAAACUGAAGAAAAGACUGAAACUGACGAAACUGAAAACCAAAAACACUAGCUACUGCAGACUUGGGUUUAUUCAACAAUCACCCCCUAAAUCCUAGUCUGCUUACUUUAUUUUCUUCAUUCCAAUCUUCUCUCUCAGCUGGAUGAACCUGACCCGUCCCAGGGGCUUCGUCAAAAUGUCAGCUAACUGAUCUUCAGUUCGGAUGUAAUCAACUGUCAUCCUUCCAUCCUCCACACAUUCCCUGAUGAAAUGAUACCGCACAUCUAUGUGCUUACUUCUGUCGUGGAGAACCGGAUUCUUGCAGAGAGCUAUGGCAGAUUUGUUGUCCACCAGAAGCAGUGGCACCUGAAGUUCUUCACCUGUGAUUUCUGCAAGCAGACGCGCCACCCACACGCCCUGACAUGCGGCCGUUAUGGCUGCAAUGAACUCAGCUUCACAUGAUGAAAGGGCCACCACUUUCUGUUUCUGCGACAGCCAGCUGACAGGGCUAUCACCGAGGAAAAAGACUCCCCCGGACGUGCUCUUGCGAUCAUCGAUGCCGCCCGCCAUGUCGCUGUACCCGACGAGCCUGGCUCCGUUGGCUCGCCGGCGAGGAAAAUGACACCCCAGAUCACGAGUGCCGGCCACGUACCUGACGAUGUGCUGAACAACAGUCAAGUGCUCGACCGUGGGCGCUUCCAUGAAACGGCUCACGUAGCUCACCGCGAAGGUGAUAUCUGGCCGGGAGUGGGUGAGGUAGCGCAACGUCCCCACCAUGCUCCUGUACUCCAUAGCGUCCGUCGAAGCCGCUGUGCUUGCCUUGCUCAGCUUCAGACGCGCUUCCAUGGGUGUCUGACGUGCAUUACACCCCAUCAGCCCCGCCUUCUCAAUGAUCUUGUCAGCGUACGCGCUCUGCGCAAUGGUCACAGCAUCCACAUCCUGGCGCACUUCAAUGCCUAGGUAGUAGGAGAGCAACCCGAGAUCGCUCAUCCUAAACUUGCCCUUCAUCGCCGUCUUGAAAUUGUCGAUCUCCGUGGCGUCGGCCCCAGUGAUCACCAGGUCAUCCACGUACACCCCCAGAAGAAGGAGCUCGCGGCCUGACCCGCGUGCGUAGACGGCGUGCUCGGAGUUGCAGCGACGGAAACCCAUGUCAACGAGCGUGGUGUCAAGCUUGGCGUUCCAAGCGCGAGGUGCCUGGUGGAGACCAUACAGCGCCUUGUGCAGCUUCAGUACCUUGCGCCUGUGGUCGUCGACGACGAAACCCGGCGGCUGCUCGACGUAGACCUCCUCCUUCAGCUCGCCAUUGAGGAAAGCCAAUUUGACAUCCAUGUGAUGGAUCGGCCAUCCCUCGUGCGCUGCGAGUGCUAGCAGAAGGCGCACGGACUCCAGUCGAGCUACUGGGGCAAAAACCUCGUCGAAGUCGAUGCCAGGCUUCUGCACAAAUCCCUUGGCGACGAGGCGACCUUUGUACUUGACGAUUUCUCCGGCCGGGUCCUUCUUGACGCGGAACACCCACUUUACCCCGAUGGCCUGGUGUCCAGCGGGCAGAUCAGUGAGCUCCCACGUGUUGUUUUCCUCGAUCGAGUUUACCUCCUCGAUCAUCGCUCUGCGCCAGCUUGGAUCGAGCUCCGCUUCUUUGAAUGUACUUGGUUCUUCAGCAGAGGCGAUCAGCAGUUUUUUGUCUGGCUGAACGGCGCCAUAGUGGAGCCCGAGAACGUCAGACACACGGCGAAAGCGAUGAGCUACGCGCGCGUCGUCAUCGGCGUCCAGCACUGGGCUCCCGGAGGGCGGUGUCACGAACUUCAAACCCCCUGGAGUGGCGGCUGCAGCAGGGGUUUGUGGUGCCUCGGUCGCCGAUUCCGGGCUGCUGACAGACACGGCCGUGUCCGGACUGCUGACAGGUGCGGGCGUGUUCACUUCAGAGCGUGAUCUCGCCGCUGCAAGUUUCCGCGGAGCCGGCGGUGUCUGAGGUUCUGCUUCUUCUUCUCCGCCACUCUGAGCCAUCUGCACCUUGUAAGCUGGAUAAGGUACAGUGAACGACUCACCCACUGUUGCCGGAGUGCCAUGAGAGGAGUCCUCCCAGUUCCAUCGUGCUGACUCGUCGAAGACAGCAUCCCGCAUGAUCUGGACACGCUUGGUCGCCGGGUUGUAGGCGCGGUACGCUUUGCCGCCCUCUUCAUACCCGACGAAAACCAUCGGAGUGGAGCGGUCCUCGAGCUUGCUCUGGUGCGGUUUCACCGUCUUGACAUGAACCACGCACCCAAAGGUGCGCAGGAAGUGCACCGGAGGUCGAUCACCGUGCCACGCCUCGUACGGGGUCAUGCCGACCACGGAGAGCGUCGGCGACCUGUUCAGGAUGAACACGGCAGUGGUGACUGCCUCCCCCCAGAACUCUCCUGGCAUGGAUGCGACCUUCAUCAUGCUCCUAGCCAUGGCCACCACCGUCUGGUUACGGCGCUCCACAACGCCGUUUUGUUGAGGAGUACGCCACCGUGAGCUGCCGCUGCACCCCUCGGUCUGCACAGUAGUCGCUGAAGUCGACGGAGGUGAACUCGCCGCCGCGGUCCGUCCGCAGUGCGCGCAGCCUGCGCCCUGUCUCUGUCUCCACGCGCGCCAGGAACCGCGCGAUCGCCCCCGCGGCCUCGUCCUUGGACCGAAGCACUGACAGCCACAUGUACCUGGACAUGUCGUCGACGAGGAGGAAGUAGCGCCGCCCACCAGCCGUGGCGGGCGUGAUGGGCCCGCAAAGAUCACCGUGCACCAGCUCCAGGAUCUGCUCCGCUCUGUAGUUCGCCUCUGCGGGAAACGAGGCACACCUCUGCUUGCCGGCGAGGCACCCGUCACACACCUGGUCGACGUGGUCAAUGGAGGGCAGCCCGCGCACCAGUCCUUGCUGGGCGAGCUCGCGGAGCGCCUGGAAGUUGAGGUGGUCGUAUCUUGCAUGCCACUUCCACGCCUCUUCCGUUGCGCACCGUGUGGCCAGACAGACGGGGCGCGCGAGCUGGAGCGCGUAUGGGUACAGCCGGUUGCCGGCGCGCUGCACCUUUGCCAUGAUUCGACGCUGCUGGUCAUAGAGGGUGAAGACGCCGUGCUCUAUCUCCGACCGGCACCCGGUUUGGUCAAGUUGCCCGAUGCUGAUGAUGUUGCUCUUCAGCCGCGGGAUGAAGUAGACACCGCUCAGGACGCGGUGGCCGCCGGCGUGGUCGGUGAAGAGCACACUUCCGCGCCCUCGAAUGUCGACGACCGAUCCAUCUCCGAACUUGACGGUGCCGGUGACGUGACGGUCGAGCUCACUGAACGAGGCUUCCUCGCCGGACAUAUGGUUGCUGGCCCCUGUGUCCAAGUACCAGACGCCGGAGUGAGCGUCCGUGGCCAGGCCCAGAUGAGCUUCCACGCGCUCUUCGACCAGGUCGACGUGUCCGUCACGAUCGCUUGGAACCGCGGACAGAUCACACACCUACGCCAUGAGGAGGUGCGUGGGAUCGGCGUCGUCCCCGCCGUGCCCUUGGGCGAGAAGGGCCUUCGCCUCCUCGUCGCGCUUCUUCUUCCUGCAGUCACGGGCCCAGUGGCCGCUGAUGCCGCAGUAGCGACACUUGUCGCGAUCGUCGUCGUUGCCGGUGCCACCGGCGUUUCCUCUGCCAGCACCCCCGUUCUGGCCGCGUCCGCCGCCACCGCCGCGGCGCCCACAGCCUCUUCCACGCCGGCCUCGAGACGAGCCGGAGCCCGAGCCACCAGCGUGAGAAUCGUCGUUCUUGAGACGGGCGUUCCACUCCUCUUCAGUGAGAAGCAGGCGCCCCACGCUAUCAGUGCUCUGCUGCAGCUCAUGGCGUUCCUCCGCCGCUUUCAGUCUCCCAGUCAGCUCCUCAACAGAGAGCUGAUCGAGAUCGACCAGAGUUUCGAUCGAGAGAGCGAUCUGCGAAAACUGUUUGGGGACUACUGACAGAAAUUUUCUCACAACUCGUUUUUCAAGGAUGUUUUCACCAAGCUGUGCCAUCUGCCCCACCAUCGCGGUGAGACUCAUUGCGAAGUCGUCCACCGACUUGCCGUCGGCGAACUUGAUGUCGCCGUACCGCCUGGUGAGCGUCGCGAGUUUUGCCUCCCGCACCCGCGCCACACCAAGCCGCAUCGUCUUCAGAGAGUCCCACGCCUCCUUCGCCGUCGCCUUGGCGGCGAGCGUGGGUCCCAUCUCCGGCGGCACGCCGCGCAUGAUCGCCUCGAGCGCCAAACGAUCCUCGCUGCGCUCGGCGGUGCCCGUCUGGACGGCGUCCCAGAGAUACCGUCCCUCCAUCAUGACCUGCAUCAGGACAGCCCAGUCGGUGUAGUUGGAUCGGGUCAGCUGCGGCCACGCCGCACCGCCGAUGUCGCGCGCCAUCCGCGCUGUGGAUCUCUCGGCCACAGCAAGCUCGUUGCCGUCGGAGACCCGUGCCCGCGGAGUGGCCGGCGACUUGCCGCCACCGGAGUCGUCUGGACCUGCCAUCUCCAAGACCAGAACAGGGCUCUGAUGCCAAUUGUUGGCAAAUUCUAGCCUAUCUCUCUCACCUCACCUCGGUCUUUCUCUGAAACUCAGGUGGCAGGAAGAACAGGGAGGUUUUGCGCCGCGUGAACUUGCGACUUUUCUGAUUUUCAUUCCUCUCUACUUAUUCAGAGUACAACAACAGAAACGGGGUCGUGGCCCCCUAACUACGCGCCACCACAGAUCGUGAUGCUCGUGCCAUCCCACGAGCGAUCGGUGAGGGCGCCAGAAACGCUCCACGCGCUAACUGACUCGAGCUAAACUCGCUAACAGAAACCUGAAGCUACUGACGAAACUGAAGAAAAGACUGAAACUGACGAAACUGAAAACCAAAAACACUAGCUACUGCAGACUUGGGUUUAUUCAACAUAUAAUAGCAGUAACCUGUAACAACAAGUAUAAUUAGCUAUUACCCGAAGGUCAGCCAGACCAAUGGAAAUACACAGAAUUAAGUAACCAACUCCAGGAACUAGAGUAGCAUAUUCAGUUAAUCAACUUGCAGUGGGAAGUACAACAAGUGAAAUCAAGUAGUCAAAGACAAUAGGAUUAGUGUACUGAACCAGGGAGCUUCAUAACUAAAGAAUCCUUCAGUUAACACGAACAGCAGAGCCACAUAGGAGCAAACAACAUAUUAAGCACUUUGCUCCUGACCAACUUAGCAAAUCCAGAGCAAUCAUAUACCACCAGACCAUCACGUGAGCACAGAAAUAAAGCAAAUACACAUGGGCAGCUACUGACAGACCCUAGAACAGCAUGAAUUUAUCACCAGAGAGGUCCAGUAGGAGUUGAUGCUUGAUUACAACAUCUAGCAGCAACUAGAAGAAUCCCACAUCCAACCCAAAUCAUGGCCAAGGCCAUGCAGGAGCAAAAUCAAUGGAGAAGGAACCGGGAGGACCUCACCAGAGGGAGAUUGUAGCCAUAGCUGUAGCUCAACCACACAACGGCUGUGGUGUGACCAUCACCACAUCCAGGAGAGGGUCUGGAGGCCGCCGGAGCACAACCACGACGACCAGGGCGAGCGCCGGGCACGGUGGCGCCACCCCGAGGGCAUCACCGCACGGAGACGCCACCCCAGGGGCACCACCGCAUCACGGUGAGCCGCUGGAGGUGCCGGAUGAAACCCCGCGACGACCGAAGGGCCGUCGGCGACAAGACCCGCCUCCACCACCGGAACCCUAGCGAGGAAAUCGUUGGGGACGACCACAGGAGGGAGGAAAAGUAGAUCGAUGCGGCGGAGCUGGUAGAGCUUGCCAAGGAGCAGCAAUGGGUGUGCUGGGAGGCGUCGGAGCUCACCGGAGCGGCCAGAAUCGGCCGGCGACCGAGGCGGCGACAGUGGGGAUCGAGCGUGAGAAGUACGAGAGGAAAAGAGGUGAGCGAGAGAUAGAGUCGAGUGCGUGUGCGCGUUCUGGUAUACUCUAGCCAGCGUGCGUACGUGUUGGGCUGAACCCAACCAUGGUGUGCGUACAUGUGUAUUGAACCAGGCCACCAGACCAAUACAUGUGUGUGCUACCUCAAGCCCUUGGAUUAAUUCACGUAUAAUCCCCUGUGCACUUCUACUUACACAUAUGUGUUAAUUAGUACUAGUCCACAUCACGUAUGUGUCAGAUCAACCCAAACCAAUACAUGUGUGUUAAGGUUAUAAAUCAACUUAAAUUAUAAAACAAAU